AAUCAACGCUGGCGGCGCGCCUAACACAUGCAAGUCGAACGAGAAAGGGGAGCAAUCCCUGAGUACAGUGGCGUACGGGUGAGUAACACGUGGAUGAUCUACCCCUUAGUCUGGAAUAACCAUGGGAAACCGUGGCUAAUACCGGAUAAGCUUGAGAGAGGAAAGCAGCAAUGCGCUGAGGGAGGAGUCCGCGGCCGAUUAGCUAGUUGGCAGGGUAAAAGCCUACCAAGGCAAAGAUCGGUAGCCGGCCUGAGAGGGCACACGGCCACACUGGCACUGAAACACGGGCCAGACUCCUACGGGAGGCAGCAGUGGGGAAUCUUGCACAAUGGGGGAAACCCUGAUGCAGCGACGCCGCGUGAGCGAUGAAGCCCUUCGGGGUGUAAAGCUCUUUCGGCAGGGAAGAUGGUGACGGUACCUGCAGAAGCAGCUGCGGCUAACUACGUGCCAGCAGCCGCGGUAAUACGUAGGCAGCAAGCGUUGUUCGGAGUUACUGGGCGUAAAGGGUGUGUAGGCGGUUGUUUAAGUUUGGUGUGAAAUCUCCCGGCUCAACUGGGAGGGUGCGCCGAAUACUGAAUGACUAGAGUGCGGGAGAGGAAAGUGGAAUUCCUGGUGUAGCGGUGAAAUGCGUAGAUAUCAGGAGGAACACCGGUGGUGUAGACGGCUUUCUGGACCGUAACUGACGCUGAGACACGAAAGCGUGGGUAGCAAACAGGAUUAGAUACCCUGGUAGUCCACGC
RNAcentral lists this ribosomal RNA (740 nucleotides) under uncultured bacterium. RNAcentral's name for it is "bacterial SSU rRNA". It matches the Rfam family "Bacterial small subunit ribosomal RNA", at positions 28 to 800 of the family's 1533-position model. The record is from RNAcentral.